Molecule: ribosomal RNA, 363 nt
Filed under: Mayazomus hoffmannae
Lineage: Eukaryota; Metazoa; Arthropoda; Arachnida; Schizomida; Hubbardiidae
Description: partial small subunit ribosomal RNA
Source: RNAcentral
AUUUAAUGUAUUAAUUUAAAUUAAUUGAAUUUUAUGUGAAGUUCAGUAUUAAGUUUAGAAAUGUUGGCGGUGUUUUAUUAAAUUCUGAGAAUCUUGCAUAAUUAAAAUGAUAAUACACAAUUUAUCUUAUCUUAGUUUUAUAGGUUUAUAUAUUGCUGUUUUAUUUAUAUUUUUGUUUAAAUAAAAUAGAUAAAAGGAUUUUUAAAUAAGAAGUUCAAGUCAAAAUAUAGUUUUAUUGAGGUUUGUGUGAGUUGCUUUUAUUUAGAAAAUAAGAAUAAUAAAGUAAAAUGAAAUUUUAUAUAAAAGAGGAUUAGGUUGUAAGGAAUAAUUAAUAAGUUUUCUUGAUAAAUUAUGUAGACAUGU